This 2459-nucleotide long non-coding RNA is filed under the name Taeniopygia guttata (zebra finch). Its description in RNAcentral is "lncRNA (ENSTGUG00000025018.1)". The record is from RNAcentral. Lineage: Eukaryota; Metazoa; Chordata; Aves; Passeriformes; Estrildidae.
CCCGCCCACUUCUCCCAUUGGCUCUCUUUUUCCCGCCCACUCCUCCCAUUGGCUCCGCCUUAGGCCCCGCCCCCGGCCCAAGAUGGCGGCGGGCCCCGCCGCCGCCGCCGCCCGCGGCCGCUUCCCCGCUCGGCCGCCGCCUCCGCCCCGAGUCCCGCCCGGGCCCCGCCGCUCCCGGGCCCCGCUGAGCGCCGCCACCGGCCCGGCCCGGCCGGACCCCGCGCUCCGAGCGCUGCUCGCCAUCGGCCGCGGCCUCCGCCGCCUGCGGGCGCUGCUCGGGGAGCGCCCCGGAGCCGCCCGGCCGGAGGAGUUCCGGGGGUUCCUCCCCGAGGAGCUGGAGAUGGCCCCGCCCCUCCCCCCGCGCCGCUCCCGCCGAGGUCAGUGACCCCAAAACCACCCGAAAUCACCCCAAAAAUCCCAUAAAUGCACCAGUCACCCAAGUCGCCCAAAAUCCCCCAAAUCACCCCCAAAAUCACCCCUAAAUCAGCCCAAAAUCACCCAAAAUACCCCUAAAUCCCCCAAAAUCACCCCAAAAUCAAGCCUAAAUCACCCAAAAUCACCCCUAAAUCACCCCAAAAUCACCUCAGAAAGCCCCAAAAUCCCCCAAAAUCAGCCCCAAAUAACUAAAAUCACCCCUAAAUCAUCCCAAAAAUCCCCUAAAUACACCAAAAUCAACCCAAAAUCGCCCAAAAUCACCCCAAAAAUCCCCUAAAUGCACCAAAGUCACCAAGUCACCCAAAAUCCCCCAAGUCACCCCAAAAUCCCCCAAAAUCAACCCUAAAUCACCCCAAAAAUCCCCUCAAUACACCAAAAUCAUCCAGGUCACCCAAAAUCCCCCAAAUUACCCCCAAAUCACCCCAAAAUCACCCCAAAAAUCCCCUAAAUGCACCAAAGUCACCAAGUCACCCAAAAUCCCCCAAGUCACCCCAAAAUCCCCCAAAAUCAACCCUAAAUCACCCCAAAAAUCCCCUAAAUACACCAAAGUCAUCCAGGUCACCCAAAAUCCCCCAAAUUACCCCCAAAUCACCCCAAAAUCACCCCAAAAUCGCCCCAAAAAUCCCCUAAAUACACCAAAGUCACCCAAGUCACACAAAAUCCCCAAAGUCACCCCAAAAUCAUUCCAAAAUCACCACUAAAUUGCCCCAAAAUACCCCAAAAUCAACUCUAAAUCACCCCAAAAUCACCCCAAAAUCGCCCAAAAUCACCCCAAAAAUCCCCUCAAUGCACCAAAGUCUCCCAAGUCACCCAAAAUCCCUCAAAUCACCCCAAAUCACCCUAAAAAAUCCCCAAAAAUCCCCAAAAUCAACCCUAAAUCACCCAAAAUCACCACAAAAAUCCCCUAAAUACAUCAAAAUCAGCCCCAAAAUCCCCAAAAUCACCCCGAAAUCACCCCAAAAAUCCCCUAAAUACACCAAAGUCACUCAAGUCACCCAAAAUCCCCCAAAUCCCCCCAAAAUCAUUCCAAAGUCACCCUAAAAAUCCCCUAAAUACACCAAAGUCACCCCAAAAUCAUUCCAAAGUCACCCCUAAAUCACCCCAUAAUCCCCCAAAAUACCCCAAAAUACCCCAAAAUCGCCCCAAAAAUCCCCAAAAUCACCCCAAAAUCAACCCUAAAUCACCCCAAAAUCAACCCUAAAUCACCCAAAAUCACCCCAAAAAUCCCCUAAAUACACCAAAAUCACCCAAAAUCAACCCAAAACCACCCAAAAUCACCCCAAAAAUCCCAUAAAUACACCAGUCACUCAAGUCACCCAAAAUCUUACAAAUCACCCCAAAUUCAUUCCAAAGUCACCCCUAAAUCACCCAAAAGUCCCCCAAAUACCCCCAAAUCAGCUCCAAAUAACCAAAAUCACCCAAAAUCCCCCCCAAAUACUCCAAAAUACCCCAAAAUCAACCCUAAAUCACCCCAUAAUCACCCCAAAUCAUCCCAAAAUCACCCAAGAAUCACCCCAAAUCAGCCCAAAAAUCACCCUAAAAACCCCCAAAAUACCCCAAAAUCACCCCUAAAUCACGCACAAUCACCCCGAAGUCACCCCCAAAAUCCCCCAAAAUCACCCCUAAAUCACCCAAAAAUCCCCAAAAUACCCCCAAAUCAACCUAAAUCACCCAAAAUCACCCCAAAAAUCCCCAAAAUCACCCAAAAGUCACUCCAAAUCACCCCAAAAUCACCCCAAAAAUCACCCCAAAAUCCUCCCAAAAUCCCCCCAAAAUCACCCCAAAAUCAACCCUACAUCACCCAAAAUCACCCCAAAAUCCCCUAAAUGACCCCCAAAUCCCCCAAAAUACCCCCAAAUCACCCCAAAUCCCCAAAAUUUGCCCAAAAUCCCCCGAAUUUCCCCCAAAAUCCCUCCUGACCCCUCUCCCCUCCCCCACAGGCUCCGGGCUCCCCUCUGGCUCCGCCCCCUCGGCCGCGGGGGGCGUGGCCUCAUUAGCAUCGCCCCGCCCACCGCGCCUCAAGC